AUUGAACGCUGGCGGCAGGCCUAACACAUGCAAGUCGAACGGUAACAGGAAGCAGCUUGCUGCUUCGCUGACGAGUGGCGGACGGGUGAGUAAUGUCUGGGAAGCUGCCUGAUGGAGGGGGAUAACUACUGGAAACGGUAGCUAAUACCGCAUAAUGUCGCAAGACCAAAGAGGGGGACCUUCGGGCCUCUUGCCAUCGGAUGUGCCCAGAUGGGAUUAGCUUGUUGGUGGGGUAACGGCUCACCAAGGCGACGAUCCCUAGCUGGUCUGAGAGGAUGACCAGCCACACUGGAACUGAGACACGGUCCAGACUCCUACGGGAGGCAGCAGUGGGGAAUAUUGCACAAUGGGCGCAAGCCUGAUGCAGCCAUGCCGCGUGUAUGAAGAAGGCCUUCGGGUUGUAAAGUACUUUCAGCGGGGAGGAAGGGAGUAAAGUUAAGACCUUUGCUCAUUGACGUGACCCGCAGAAGAAGCACCGGCUAACUCCGU
This 489-nucleotide ribosomal RNA is filed under the name uncultured bacterium. RNAcentral's name for it is "partial 16S ribosomal RNA". It matches the Rfam family "Bacterial small subunit ribosomal RNA", at positions 30 to 506 of the family's 1533-position model. The record is from RNAcentral.